CACGAGUACUUGUACUUGGUGGCGAGUGGCGAACGGGUGAGUAAUAUAUUGGAACGUACCGAGUAAUGGGGGAUAACUAUCCGAAAGGAUAGCUAAUACCGCAUACGCUUUGAGAAGGAAAGCAGGGGAUCUUCGGACCUUGCGUUAUUCGAGCGGCCAAUAACUGAUUAGCUAGUUGGUGGGGUAAGGGCCCACCAAGGCGACGAUCAGUAGCGGGUCUGAGAGGAUGAUCCGCCACACUGGGACUGAGACACGGCCCAGACUCCUACGGGAGGCAGCAGUGGGGAAUUUUGGACAAUGGGCGAAAGCCUGAUCCAGCCAUGCCGCGUGUCUGAAGAAGGCCUUCGGGUUGUAAAGGACUUUUGUUAGGGAAGAAAAGGUUGAUGCUAAUAUCAUUAACUGAUGACGGUACCUAAAGAAUAAGCACCGGCUAACUACGUGCCAGCAGCCGCGGUAAUACGUCUGUCUC
RNAcentral lists this ribosomal RNA (469 nucleotides) under Kingella kingae. RNAcentral describes it as "bacterial SSU rRNA". It matches the Rfam family "Bacterial small subunit ribosomal RNA", at positions 71 to 535 of the family's 1533-position model. The record is from RNAcentral. Lineage: Bacteria; Pseudomonadati; Pseudomonadota; Betaproteobacteria; Neisseriales; Neisseriaceae.